RNAcentral lists this unclassified non-coding RNA (139 nucleotides) under uncultured Ascomycota. RNAcentral describes it as "sequence contains ITS1". The record is from RNAcentral. Lineage: Eukaryota; Fungi; Ascomycota.
CCAAAGUACAGCGGGCUUCGGCCCUGUCUGCACCCUUGUCUUUUGCGUACUAUUCGUUUCCUUGGUGGGCUUGCCCGCCAAAAGGACACUUUAAAACCACUUGUAAUAGCAAUCAGCGUCAGAAUAACUAUAAUAGUUA